UACGUAGGGGGCAAGCGUUGUCCGGAAUCAUUGGGCGUAAAGCGCGUGUAGGCGGCUCGGUAAGUCUGCUGUGAAAGUCCAGGGCUCAACCCUGGGAUGCCGGUGGAUACUGUCGAGCUCGAGUCCGGAAGAGGCGAGUGGAAUUCCUGGUGUAGCGGUGAAAUGCGCAGAUAUCAGGAGGAACACCAAUGGCGAAGGCAGCUCGCUGGGGCGUGACUGACGCUGAGACGCGAAAGCGUGGGGAGCAAACAGG
This 253-nucleotide ribosomal RNA is filed under the name uncultured bacterium. RNAcentral describes it as "partial 16S ribosomal RNA". It matches the Rfam family "Bacterial small subunit ribosomal RNA", at positions 524 to 776 of the family's 1533-position model. The record is from RNAcentral.